UUGACCUCAAAUCAGGUAGGACUACCCGCUGAACUUAAGCAUAUCAAUAAGCGGAGGAAAAGAAACUAACAAGGAUUCCCCUAGUAACUGCGAGUGAACCGGGAAAAGCUCAAAUUUUGAAUCUGGCGGUCUUUCGGCCGUCCGAGUUGUAAUCUAGAGAAGCGUC
This 166-nucleotide ribosomal RNA is filed under the name Suillus collinitus. RNAcentral's name for it is "partial 28S ribosomal RNA". It matches the Rfam family "Eukaryotic large subunit ribosomal RNA", at positions 1 to 162 of the family's 3401-position model. The record is from RNAcentral. Lineage: Eukaryota; Fungi; Basidiomycota; Agaricomycetes; Boletales; Suillaceae.